This 428-nucleotide ribosomal RNA is filed under the name uncultured prokaryote. RNAcentral describes it as "bacterial SSU rRNA". It matches the Rfam family "Bacterial small subunit ribosomal RNA", at positions 355 to 774 of the family's 1533-position model. The record is from RNAcentral.
UAAGGAAUUUUGCGCAAUGGGAGCAAUCCUGACGCAGCAACGCCGCGUGGGUGAUGAAGGCCUUCGGGUCGUAAAGCCCUUUCAGGUGGGAAGAAUGUCCCGGGACUGCACUGGUUCCGGGAGUUACAGUACCACCAAAGGAAGCACCGGCUAACUCCGUGCCAGCAGCCGCGGUAAUACGGAGGGUGCAAGCGUUAUUCGGAAUUACUGGGCGUAAAGGGCGUGUAGGCGGGAGGGCAAGUCCGCUGUGAAAUCCCCGGGCUUAACCCCGGAAGUGCAUUGGAGACUGUUCUGCUGGAGUUUUGGAGAGGAAGGGGGAAUUCCCGGUGUAGAGGUGAAAUUCGUAGAGAUCGGGAGGAAGAGCAGUGGCGAAGGCGGCGCUCUGGAACGUAACUGACGCUGAGACGCGAAAGCGUGGGGAGCAAACA